Molecule: ribosomal RNA, 678 nt
Filed under: Salmonella enterica subsp. indica
Lineage: Bacteria; Pseudomonadati; Pseudomonadota; Gammaproteobacteria; Enterobacterales; Enterobacteriaceae
Description: bacterial SSU rRNA
Rfam family: Bacterial small subunit ribosomal RNA
Source: RNAcentral
UAGACCGCCUGGGGAGUACGGCCGCAAGGUUAAAACUCAAAUGAAUUGACGGGGGCCCGCACAAGCGGUGGAGCAUGUGGUUUAAUUCGAUGCAACGCGAAGAACCUUACCUGGUCUUGACAUCCACGGAAGGUCUCAGAGAUGAGACUGUGCCUUCGGGAGCCGUGAGACAGGUGCUGCAUGGCUGUCGUCAGCUCGUGUUGUGAAAUGUUGGGUUAAGUCCCGCAACGAGCGCAACCCUUAUCCUUUGUUGCCAGCGGUUAGGCCGGGAACUCAAAGGAGACUGCCAGUGAUAAACUGGAGGAAGGUGGGGAUGACGUCAAGUCAUCAUGGCCCUUACGACCAGGGCUACACACGUGCUACAAUGGCGCAUACAAAGAGAAGCGACCUCGCGAGAGCAAGCGGACCUCAUAAAGUGCGUCGUAGUCCGGAUUGGAGUCUGCAACUCGACUCCAUGAAGUCGGAAUCGCUAGUAAUCGUGGAUCAGAAUGCCACGGUGAAUACGUUCCCGGGCCUUGUACACACCGCCCGUCACACCAUGGGAGUGGGUUGCAAAAGAAGUAGGUAGCUUAACCUCCGGGAGGGCGCUUACCACUUUGUGAUUCAUGACUGGGGUGAAGUCGUAACAAGGUAACCGUAGGGGAACCUGCGGUUGGAUCACCUCCUUACCUGAAAGAA